GCUUUGUGGUGUAUGACACGUUGGAUUGCAAAUCCAGAGAAGGAGGUUGACGCCUCCCGGGGCUUUC
Molecule: transfer RNA, 67 nt
Filed under: Silurus asotus (Amur catfish)
Lineage: Eukaryota; Metazoa; Chordata; Actinopteri; Siluriformes; Siluridae
Description: tRNA-Cys
Rfam family: tRNA
About the family: Transfer RNA (tRNA) molecules are approximately 80 nucleotides in length. Their secondary structure includes four short double-helical elements and three loops (D, anti-codon, and T loops). Further hydrogen bonds mediate the characteristic L-shaped molecular structure. tRNAs have two regions of fundamental functional importance: the anti-codon, which is responsible for specific mRNA codon recognition, and the 3' end, to which the tRNAs corresponding amino acid is attached (by aminoacyl-tRNA synthetases). tRNAs cope with the degeneracy of the genetic code in two manners: having more than one tRNA (with a specific anti-codon) for a particular amino acid; and 'wobble' base-pairing, i.e. permitting non-standard base-pairing at the 3rd anti-codon position.
Source: RNAcentral